RNAcentral lists this microRNA precursor (116 nucleotides) under Lotus japonicus. Its description in RNAcentral is "miR11113 stem-loop (lja-MIR11113)". The record is from miRBase by way of RNAcentral. Lineage: Eukaryota; Viridiplantae; Streptophyta; Magnoliopsida; Fabales; Fabaceae.
AGAUUACGAUAUAUAUCUGAUAUGUAAUUAGGAAACUAUGUAAUUAAGAUUAGACUAUCAAAUUUAAUCUUAAUUAUAUAGUUUCCUGAUUACAUAUCAGAUGUAUUUCUUAAUCU